Molecule: long non-coding RNA, 2013 nt
Filed under: Hordeum vulgare
Lineage: Eukaryota; Viridiplantae; Streptophyta; Magnoliopsida; Poales; Poaceae
Description: long non-coding RNA (HVUL_LNC011012)
Source: RNAcentral
GCCUCCUCUCUGAAUCUUUUACCACUGAAUUUUCUCUGUAUCUUGUAUAUUGCAGGGUAUCAAGUAGAGAUAAACUGCACAUGUCGUCAAUCGGAUGCACAUGUGACAUUCUACCAAGAUCUAAUUCAGUUAGUUCUCUACCAAAUCCAAUCCCGUUUAGAUUUUUCCAAAAGUUUGGUUCAUCUUUGUUCUCUAAAUCAACAUAAUCAAGUGUAAAAUAUCAUUUAGUUUAUUUUCUACCAUAUAUAAUUCGGUAGGAAUAAAUGUAACCAAGUGUGAUGAAUAAUUUCAUCAAAUAGGUUUUGGAGAUAUGAUUUCUAUGAAUGUAUUAACAUGGCGAGAUGUGCUAUUUGUUGUUUUGUCCGAGGCAUUACUUUUUAGUCCUUGUCUCCUACAACUCAACAAAUAUAUAUAACCGAAAUAGUUUAAUCAAAAUCUAUGAAUAAAGUUACAUUAUCUGUGGUAUGAACUUGAUUACUGCCUUGAUGUCUUAUUCAAACCCAACUUUGGAAUAUAAUUGUACAAAUAAUGCUUCCAGUUUACCUUGUUCUUUGGGUUGGGAAGCUAAGAGUUUAAUUGAUGCUGGUUUUUCGCUUAUUAUAGAGGAGAAGUUGGAUCUUGUGCUAUUGCAUAUUUGAAAAUGAAUAUACACAUAAUUGCAAUCUCCAGGAGCGAUGGAAGUGAAGAUUGCACGUUUUUUUAAGAUUACUAGUAGAGGGUAUAUUAUUUUCGUUUCAGAUUGAAUUAUUUACUUUAUACAUUGUCAUAUGAGGGCUCUUUGCAAGAAGCGACUGAGAUUCAUUUAUGAUCAAAGCCUAAAGAAAAUAGGUUUAUUAAUUUAUUGUAUGUAGUUGAAUUAAGAGAGGAAGAAAAGCGUGGUAAAAAAUUAUGUUUGAUAUAUAUGUUACGAUACAUCUGCACUGUCUUAACUAUUCAUGCUAAUUCAUGUCAAUUGAACACUAGCAGCCGUUUGUGAUUUUUAAACUUUGAGGUAUGAACUCUAACUUUUUUGGACAAAGAUAAUUGUGUGCCUUGUAUCCCAGAUAUUGAAGUGUGGGCCUUGUAUGCCAUGAAGUGUAAUCAGUAAAUGGGAGAAUGCAUCCUUUUUUUCCUUCAACAAAUGUUACUGUUCUUCACAAUUCUUGGGUAUGGUUAAUCUAGAUGUCAAUUUUACAGUCUGAGAGCAUCAGACUAAAUUUGAACCGUUAGGUUCACUUUUGUUCCUUCUAGAUCUCAGCCAUCAAUGUAACCAUUAGGUUCAUCCAUUUUUAUAUAGGAAUCCCUGUUAGAGUACAUAUCAACUUGAUUUUUGUUAUAAUUGAUGAAUAUAAAAUGAUGUGUCCAUCCUUUGUUUUAGUAUGACAUUGACCUUUCUAUGCCUGGAUGAUAAAAUGUAACAUUUACAGAACAUUUUUUUAGGGAGCUGGCUAUUAUAACUUAUGAAUAUGAAAUGAUCUAGCCUGCUUUUUUUUAGCGUGUGUUGCCCACAUUUUCAUUGUACCUUAAUAUAGUACUGGUGUCGGUCACAUUAUUACCUGGAAAAUCAACUACUCCCUCUCUUCACUUUUGUAAUACGUUUAAGACAGCUAAAAUUACUUGGGUCCAUACAACUUCCUAGAUUCAUUUGGGAGCUGGUUGUCAUAACUUAUUAUAAUUUUGUAUGUGUUUUGAUUAUAUGCAGGUUUGGUUGUUACUGGAGAUCCAAGUUUUUAGCAGGAAUUACUUGGGUCUGUACAACUUCCUGAAAGCGCGUGGUGGUGUUUUGUUGGAGAUUAAAAUCAGCCAGUAGGGCACUUUUUCAUGGAAGUCAUACCACUCGAAAAUAGUAUGCUUAUAGGGCUUUGUAGAUAUACUAGUCUUUUGAUAUUAAGCAUUCUUUUUUGAAAUGAGACUAGAUUGUUGGAACUUUGUAUUGUCAUGUACAUGCUAUUUUUUGAAUGAAUAUAAUUUGGUUGUCAUGUUGUAAAUUGGGUUGCAUUGAGAAAAUGGCUUGUAUUGAAAAAGGGGCCAAUG